This 240-nucleotide long non-coding RNA is filed under the name Mytilus galloprovincialis (Mediterranean mussel). Lineage: Eukaryota; Metazoa; Mollusca; Bivalvia; Mytilida; Mytilidae. The record is from RNAcentral.
GAUUAACCGGUUAUCCGGUAGUUUGAGUUAGUGCUUGUAGUACCCUACACUUAGAUAUAAGAUGUGGUAUGAUAGUCAAUUUGACAACCUUUCAUCCAAGUCAUAAAUUUACGCUUUUAGAAUUGAAGUUUGUUCUCUGGCAUCAUAAGGCUUGUCUGUGAGGAUUUCUGGCGAAAUUUGACUUUUAAUAACCAACUACACCGUAUCAACAAAAGCGUUUGUACUAACUUCAGAUUGAAA